This 459-nucleotide ribosomal RNA is filed under the name uncultured bacterium. Its description in RNAcentral is "partial 16S ribosomal RNA". It matches the Rfam family "Bacterial small subunit ribosomal RNA", at positions 338 to 795 of the family's 1533-position model. The record is from RNAcentral.
CCUACGGGUGGCAGCAGUGAGGAAUAUUGGUCAAUGGGCGCGAGCCUGAACCAGCCAAGUCGCGUGAGGGAAGACGGUCCUAUGGAUUGUAAACCUCUUUUGUCGGGGAGCAAAAGACGCCACGCGUGGCGUUUUGUGAGUACCCUAAGAAAAAGCAUCGGCUAACUCCUUGCCAGCAGCCGCGGUAAUACGGAGGAUGCGAGCGUUAUCCGGAUUUUGUGGGUUUAAAGGGGGCGUAGGCGGAAGUUCAAGUCAGCGGUAAAAUUGAGAGGCUCAACCUCUCCGGGCCGUUGAAACUGGUGGUCUUGAGUGAGUGAGGGGUAUACGGAAUGCGUGGUGUAGCGGUGAAAUGCAUAGAUAUCACGCAGAACUCCGAUUGCGAAGGCAGCAUACCGGCGCUCAACUGACGCUCAUGCACGAAAGUGUGGGUAUCAAACAGGAUUAGAUACCCGAGUAGUC